Molecule: ribosomal RNA, 430 nt
Filed under: uncultured cyanobacterium
Lineage: Bacteria; Bacillati; Cyanobacteriota
Description: bacterial SSU rRNA
Rfam family: Bacterial small subunit ribosomal RNA
Source: RNAcentral
AUGAAUUUCGCCUGAGGAUGAGCUCGCGUCUGAUUAGCUAGUUGGUGGGGUAAAGGCCUACCAAGGCGACGAUCAGUAGCUGGUCUGAGAGGAUGAUCAGCCACACUGGGACUGAGACACGGCCCAGACUCCUACGGGAGGCAGCAGUGGGGAAUUUUCCGCAAUGGGCGAAAGCCUGACGGAGCAACGCCGCGUGAGGGAUGAAGGCCUCUGGGCUGUAAACCUCUUUUCUCAAGGAAGAAGACCUGACGGUACUUGAGGAAUAAGCCACGGCUAAUUCCGUGCCAGCAGCCGCGGUAAUACGGGAGUGGCAAGCGUUAUCCGGAAUUAUUGGGCGUAAAGCGUCCGCAGGCGGCCCUGUAAGUCUGUCGUUAAAGCGUGGAGCUUAACUCCAUUUAAGCGAUGGAAACUACAGGGCUUGAGUGUGGUA